GACGAACGCUGGCGGCGUGCUUAACACAUGCAAGUCGAACGGUGAAGCGCCUUCCUUUUUGGUGGGUGUGGAUGAGUGGCGAACGGGUGAGUAACACGUGAGUAACCUGCCCCCUUCUUCUGGAUAACCGCAUGAAAGUGUGGCUAAUACGGGAUAUUCUGGGUCUGUCGCAUGAUGGGUCUGGGAAAGAUAUUGUUUCGGUGGGGGAUGGGCUCGCGGCCUAUCAGCUUGUUGGUGGGGUGAUGGCCUACCAAGGCGGUGACGGGUAGCCGGCCUGAGAGGGUGGACGGUCACACUGGGACUGAGACACGGCCCAGACUCCUACGGGAGGCAGCAGGGGGGAAUAUUGCACAAUGGGCGCAAGCCUGAUGCAGCGACGCCGCGUGAGGGAUGGAGGCCUUCGGGUUGUGAACCUCUUUCGCCAGUGAAGCAGGCCUGCCUCGUUUGUGGGUGGGUUGACGGUAGCUGGAUAAGAAGCGCCGGCUAACUACGUG
This 494-nucleotide ribosomal RNA is filed under the name uncultured bacterium. RNAcentral describes it as "partial 16S ribosomal RNA". It matches the Rfam family "Bacterial small subunit ribosomal RNA", at positions 28 to 507 of the family's 1533-position model. The record is from RNAcentral.